AGUCGACUAAGCGACUCUAAACAGCAUUUAGGCUUAGUGCGUUCCCCUGCUCACGCGGGGGAGGUAUGG
RNAcentral lists this ribozyme (69 nucleotides) under unclassified sequences. Its description in RNAcentral is "pistol ribozyme". It matches the Rfam family "Pistol ribozyme". The record is from RNAcentral. RNAcentral also lists the same sequence under 1 other name.